This 76-nucleotide transfer RNA is filed under the name Nitrososphaera sp. RNAcentral describes it as "tRNA-Trp". The record is from RNAcentral. Lineage: Archaea; Thermoproteati; Nitrososphaerota; Nitrososphaeria; Nitrososphaerales; Nitrososphaeraceae.
GGGGUCGUAGCGAAGCCUGGCAUCGCAACGGGCUCCAGACCCGUGGAUCAGGGGUUCAAGUGAUUGCGGUAUUCCG